UUGUCUUCACCCCCCUCCGGCAGGGAGCGCAGGGUAAAGUCCAUGCGUGUUAUAAAAUGAUCCGGUGUGUGGAGCAGCCUCAGCUCGAACAAAUUGUCUUUCACCACAGCACAAAAAAGCCGCCAUCAGCUGCAAAUUGUGCGCAUAAGAAACAAAUAUAAACAGUAAAAAAAAAUAAAAAAAUAGGAGCAUUUAACGAAACCAACACCGUGUUUACCACGCAGUCAGUUGACAGAGGAAACUACAACAUGAAUUUGCCAACGUACCCUCCUGUCAGACAGGCAUCCAGAGGAGGACCAUGGAUGGUGCGCACCGUGGGGAGUUCAGUCCUGCUGCCGCCGCUCUGUGUUUAUUUCCCGGUUAGAAGGAGAGGGAGUGGGUCGGUGUGCUGCCGGUGUAACGCCUAAUGAGGGAGGGAGGAGGAGAGAGAGAGGGAGGGACGCUGUCAGAUGCUUGGAGGCAAAGAAGGGGAGACUUACACACACAUACGGGAGUGUGUGCGUGAGUAUGCGUGUGCGUGUGUUUGUGUGUAUGGAGAUAAACAGCGCUCGUGCCUUUGCUGCACAAACCUCCGUCUCCGUCAGCAAGUUUUCAAAUGUAAAUAAAAAAAUAAGCCAACAAGGUGACAUAAUCUCUUGUAAUGAUGUGUUGCAGUUAUGCGUUUUUGCGUAGAAUGACUGACCGCCAUACGUGCAUGAUUUGCACCUUUAAGCCCACCUGGAAUGGUUGCGGACAGUAAAACAUGUUUCCUUCUUCGGUGAAUGAAAUAUUUCAACCCUCCAGCAGCUGCUUCAGGAGGAGCUGUUGUUUCGCGCCGUGUCGUCAGGAAUGCUCGGUCCCCCUCUGAUUUCAUCAACUGCAGCCAGCCAACACACGCACACACACACACACACACACACGAUUUAUUAACACCCGCUCCUGUAAACACGAGUGACGGGAGCUCGUCAGUCAGGUAUCACUCCUCCAUUGUGCGCCCCUAAAUUAACAAGGUAUUAUUUUGAGAGGCGAGGUUGGUUUGAUAGAAUUAAUCAGUGAGAGAUUGCUGCUGCUGCUGAAGAUGAUGAUGAUGAUUUGAUUAAUCUUUCUCAGUUUCCUCAGGGAAGUGGGGGCGCAUUCAGCAGGAUAACAGAAUUAAAGGAACAUUGCUCCGGGUUUCAGCAAACUAUGUUAGCAUGCAGGUCGGAGCAAUUUUGUUAGCCGUGCAGUAGAACUACUCUACAGGUGGAGUUUGGUGGCUAAAUGGUAGACCUCAAACACUUUGCAUUGUUGUUAUUUAGAAAAGGAUUUACACAGCAGGAAAAUACAACCCAGAUUGGAUCUUUUUUUUUUUUUUUUUGCCUAUAUGGACUCUUCCACAGCAGUCUGAACGGCCAAAUCAGAUAUUUCCACCCACCAAAAAAAGACUGAUUGACACUUCCAUAUGUGGAGCUAAAUGAUUGUUUUCAGAGCGUCUGCAGUCAGAACUGUCCUCCUGAAUUUAACUCGACCUUUAUGUCACUGACCUGAAACAUGCAUCAUGAUUCUGCACCAGAAAGAACCAGACUGAACAUAAAAAUACAAAUAAAUCAUAAUUAUGAAUUUUGAAAGAAGUGUGCUCCACUGAAGCGCAUCCUGAAGGAACCGCAUUGGAUCCUACUUCACAUCCAGACAGACUUUUCAGAAACUGCAGUCGAUGAUCCACAAAAGCUCAUCGCUGUUAGUUGUGCUUCUGUUUCUUUUGUCCAUUAUUUCAAACUAAACAGAUCGCAGCUGCAUCACACCUGAGUUCUUCUUCUGCGCAUCUGAGUCGCUUUGGAGUCGUGAAACAUUCACACAGAAGACUGAUUUCAGCGAGAAAAAAUCUGAAUUGAGCAUCAAGACCUGCUGUGUGAACACAGUCUAUUUCUCCCAUCACACUAUUACAAAAACACCAUCUGUGGUGGUGAAGGAUGAGCCACGGCUCACCCUGAGACAUCCUGCUUCUGAAAACAUCUACAAGGCGCUGAGUGUCCUCUAGAGUUCAGCUCAAUCCAUCCAGACAUGAAAGGAACAGGGCCACAUUAUGGCCACAUUAUGGCCAUAUCCUCACAACCCGAGAGACCAGAGAGGGAAGACUCCAUGUCACCGGGACAACAACAGUUGGUUCUUCGCCAGUCAAAUCUUCAUGGGAGAGUGACAAUGGGUCCAGUGUUCAUUUAUACGUACCCCUGAGCCACACAUGGGACUGGCAAGACUUCUAGGUGAAGACGUCUGUUGAAUCACAGGCCACAGUGGAAGCAGCCUGUUUGGUCAGAAGGGUUCUGUAUGCAGCAGCAGUAGCGGCAACAGCAGCAGCUCCUUCACAGCUGCAGGAAACCAACCGUUACUUCCUGAACGUUGCAGCCGCUGCCCCACAGCUGGCCGUCAAAACAAUUACUGACAGUGACACCAUACUCAUAGUUACUGCAACUAAAACCUAAAAAUAGAAAGUUUAUCUCCAACUACAGAUGCACCGAAAAUUAUCCCAACCCCGCUGCAUUUCUUGAUUCAGACAUUUCCAAUAAAAGUGAGUGAAGCUGAUCAGGCACCAGGUUGGCCUGAGGUCGUGGACCUUAGGUUCCUCAUUAUGAGGUACUGGUGUAAAGUUGCACAGAAAUAAUUUGAGUCGUAAAGCCUUUUUUCACAUUGUUUUAUUUAUUUAAAAAUGUGACAAUGGGAGCAAUAACUAGCAGUUUAAACAAACUACUAUUUCGGCUAAAUAUUUAGUAAUAAGAUAAACUGUUAUCUCCAAAUUAAAUAUUUAGUUAAGAUAAAUAUUGACCUUCAAACUAGUUUAAAGCUGUUUGGUUGAAUACUUUCAGGUGCAACAAGGCACUGACUGAAAGAUUGAGAUGAUUUUGUUAAAAUGUCUUUUAAACCAUUCGCACAACAGAUUUGUCCCCAAAGAGAGGGCACCCCCCCCCCCCCCCCUCAGCCUCUUCCUAUGUUAUUGCCUCAGGCUGAACCUCAGUGGAGCCUAAGAGUAAGACUCCCAACACUGAAAUAAAUUUGAUCUGGAGAUUUUUUGGCAAGCAAGACAGACGGCCUCAGGGGUUUUAUUCAAGGCAUCAAUAAACUUUUUGCAUCUGACCACCUGUAACAUCUUUCACCUUUUCAGGGCUACAUGUAAAACAUCUUAGACUCUUUCAAAAACAUAUUUCAGCUUUUUCCUAUCCUGAUGGUCAGAAGUCCUCCUGACCAGCAGGAAGGACGUUGCUCACUCGCCCUCCCAAAUGGAGCAUGGGAAGCUAAGAAACAAGAGGGAACUUUUGGCAAUGAGUCAGAGUUUUGAUAAACAUGAAGGAUGUAACUUGCAUGUUUAGCAUAAGAUAUGAGUAGGUUAUCAUGUUAUUGUUUUUUUGUUUUUUUUCCCCCUUUUUUUUAAACUGUCUCCAUGUCGUGACAACAUGAGACUGAAAAUCUGUGAAAAGAUCGAUCUCCUCCACCUCCUCCCUGAGCUGCUAUUGAAUCGGUGCCUAUGCUAACUAGGAUUAGCAUUAACUAGAGGAUAUGCUAAUAGGGAAAAUCUGUAGCAUGGGGUGGAGUGAAGAGGUGUAUGAGCAACGCCACAUGAGAUUGUGAUUGACAGCGCUAAGUCCCGCCUCCUGGCUUUGAUUGAUUGUUUCUAGUUAGCUCUCAGAGAAGGCAGUAGAGAUCAAUGUUUUCACAGGCUAUCCAUCUCAUAGUGACAGCUUCAAAAAUUAUUAUUACUAUUAUUAUUUUUUUAUAUAAAAGUUACAUACUUACCCAUAUUAUGUGAUCAGAUCACAUGAUCACUGUGAUACAUUCUGGGAUUCGGUUUUCCUCCAGUUCUACUUGUGUAGUUCAGUCCUUCAGGACUCAACAGGCUGUGAAAGACUAGACUGGGAUGGAAAGCUUUACUGUCCAGCAGGAUAACUGAGCGACAGUGUGAAUGAAAAGUUCAGAGCUUAAUUCCACUGAGGAUCUGUUGGAAUCAGUUUGCUAACAGUUCAAAACGACUCUUAACAGACGCUCUUCCUAAAUCUGACUGAGCCUGAACUAUUUAGUACAGAAGAGUUGGCAAAAACUGAAUCUGUGCAGGUGCAAAGCUGGUAGAGACAUACACCAACAGAUGAUCAGCUGUAAUCACAGCAAAAAGGUUCCAGUCAGUAUUCACUGAGGAGAGCUGAAUGGAAAUGAACAGAUCACAGGAAACGGUUGUUUGCUUGUCAAAGUAAAUGUUUUAUGUUUCAGCUUUUACAUGAAAUAAAAUUUAUCCUAAAAUUGUACAAUACACUGAUGAUUUGUCAGUGUAUUAAAUCAUGAAAAGUUAAGCUAAAGUUGCUUUGAACAGGCUGUGAAAACAAAUCAUAUGAUCAGAUCAUAUCACAUGAUAUGAGCAGAUCAUUUCUGAUCAUAGACCCAGCAUGAGAGAAGUCAUUUUAUUUUUAAAGUUGUGCAUUGCAUUUUUUAAGUGAUUAUUUUGAUGUUUUUAUAUGAUGUCUGUUCAGCACUUUGGUCAGUUUUGCUGUUUUAAAAGUGCUUAUAAAUAAAGCUGGCUUGGCUAACAACCAAAUAAAUCAACAAAAACAUGUUGUUUUUUUUUAAGUCCAAAUUCUGUUUUCCAGCUUUAGUUCAUUUUUAUUAAGAACAUGAAUGGAUGAAAAUAUCUUUGGAUCACAGAGGUUGAAAACACCUGGCCAGGCUGGAGCGCAACAAACUGUAUUUGUUGCGCUCCAAGUUUCCACCUCAUCACAUGUCCACAGGAAACUGGAAGUGGGAGCAGCAGAGAAUCAAACAUCUGAAAUGAAAAGCCACACA
Molecule: long non-coding RNA, 4779 nt
Organism: Poecilia latipinna (sailfin molly)
Lineage: Eukaryota; Metazoa; Chordata; Actinopteri; Cyprinodontiformes; Poeciliidae
Exons: 3
Source: RefSeq, a predicted model, not a curated record